ACCAAGGCUUGACAUACACGAGAACACCCUAGAAAUAGGGGACUCUUUGGACACUCGUGAACAGGUGGUGCAUGGUUGUCGUCAGCUCGUGUCGUGAGAUGUUGGGUUAAGCCCCGCAACGAGCGCAACCCUCGUUCUAUGUUGCCAGCACGUAAUGGUGGGAACUCAUGGGAUACUGCCGGGGUCAACUCGGAGGAAGGUGGGGAUGACGUCAAAUCAUCAUGCCCCUUAUGUCUUGGGCUUCACGCAUGCUACAAUGGCCGGUACAAAGGGCUGCAAUACCGUGAGGUGGAGCGAAUCCCAAAAAGCCGGUCCCAGUUCGGAUUGAGGUCUGCAACUCGACCUCAUGAAGUCGGAGUCGCUAGUAAUCGCAGAUCAGCAACGCUGCGGUGAAUACGUUCCCGGGUCUUGUACACACGC
RNAcentral lists this ribosomal RNA (420 nucleotides) under uncultured Microbacterium sp. RNAcentral's name for it is "bacterial SSU rRNA". It matches the Rfam family "Bacterial small subunit ribosomal RNA", at positions 973 to 1393 of the family's 1533-position model. Lineage: Bacteria; Bacillati; Actinomycetota; Actinomycetes; Micrococcales; Microbacteriaceae. The record is from RNAcentral.